Molecule: regulatory RNA element, 162 nt
Organism: Brevibacillus panacihumi W25
Lineage: Bacteria; Bacillati; Bacillota; Bacilli; Caryophanales; Paenibacillaceae
Rfam family: Ribosomal protein L10 leader
About the family: This family is a putative r-protein leader autoregulatory structure found in B. subtilis and other low-GC Gram-positive bacteria. It is located in the 5' untranslated regions of mRNAs encoding ribosomal proteins L10 and L12 (rplJ-rplL).
Source: Rfam
GUUGAUGAAAUGAAUAUGCCGUAGACAGAAGGUGCGCGUUUGAAUGAACGCUGCUUAAUAUCCCUCCGAGGCGUGUAAUGUACGAAAGAGGAAAGGUAUCUUUCCUUUGACGAUAGAGCAUUAUGCCCUCGUGAGUCUGCGAGGGCAUUUUCCUUUUUUCGA